UACGGGGGGGGUAAGCGUUGUUCGGAAUUACUGGGCGUAAAGGGCUCGUAGGCGGCCAACUAAGUCAUACGUGAAAUCCCUCAGCUUAACUGGGGAACUGCGUGUGAUACUGGAUGGCUUGGAUUUGGGAGAGGGAUGCGGAAUUCCAGGUGUAGCGGUGAAAUGCGUAGAUAUGUGGAGGAACACCGGUGGCGAAGGCGGGUCUCUGGGCCGAUACUGACGCUGAGGAGCGAAAGCGUGGGGAGCGAACAGG
This 253-nucleotide ribosomal RNA is filed under the name uncultured bacterium. RNAcentral describes it as "partial 16S ribosomal RNA". It matches the Rfam family "Bacterial small subunit ribosomal RNA", at positions 524 to 776 of the family's 1533-position model. The record is from RNAcentral.